This 255-nucleotide ribosomal RNA is filed under the name uncultured bacterium. RNAcentral's name for it is "partial 16S ribosomal RNA". It matches the Rfam family "Bacterial small subunit ribosomal RNA", at positions 524 to 776 of the family's 1533-position model. The record is from RNAcentral.
GACGAACCGUGCGAACGUUAUUCGGAAUCACUGGGCUUAAAGCGCGUGUAGGCGGGUCGGCACGUCGGGAGCUGAAAUCCCCCGGCUCAACCGGGGAAGGGGCGCCGAUACGACCGGCCUGGAGGGACGUAGGGGGGGCUGGAACUUCCGGUGGAGCGGUGAAAUGCGUUGAGAUCGGAAGGAACGCCCGUGGCGAAAGCGAGCCCCUGGACGUCUACUGACGCUGAGACGGCGAAAGCCAGGGGAGCGAACGGG